AGUGAACGCUGGCGGUAGGCCUAACACAUGCAAGUCGAACGGCAGCACAGUAAGAGCUUGCUCUUACGGGUGGCGAGUGGCGGACGGGUGAGGAAUAUAUCGGAAUCUACUUUUUCGUGGGGGAUAACGUAGGGAAACUUACGCUAAUACCGCAUACGACCUACGGGUGAAAGCAGGGGAUCUUCGGACCUUGCGCGAUUGAAUGAGCCGAUGUCGGAUUAGCUAGUUGGCGGGGUAAAGGCCCACCAAGGCGACGAUCCGUAGCUGGUCUGAGAGGAUGAUCAGCCACACUGGAACUGGAGCACGGUCCAGACUCCUACGGGAGGCAGCAGUGGGGAAUAUUUGACAAUGGGCGCAAGCCUGAUCCAGCCAUACCGCGUGGGUGAAGAAGGCCUUCGGGUUGUAAAGCCCUUUUGUUGGGAAAGAAAAGCAGCAGGUUAAUACCCCGCUGUUCUGACGGUACCCAAAGAAUAAGCACCGGCUAACUUCGUG
RNAcentral lists this ribosomal RNA (492 nucleotides) under uncultured bacterium. RNAcentral describes it as "partial 16S ribosomal RNA". It matches the Rfam family "Bacterial small subunit ribosomal RNA", at positions 29 to 507 of the family's 1533-position model. The record is from RNAcentral.